UACGUAGGGUGCGAGCGUUGUCCGGAAUUAUUGGGCGUAAAGGGCUCGUAGGCGGUUUGUCGCGUCGGGAGUGAAAUCCACUGGCUUAACUGGUGGCUUGCUUCGAUACGGGCAGACUGGAGGUAUGCAGGGGAGAACGGAAUUCCUGGUGUAGCGGUGAAAUGCGCAGAGUAUCAGGAGGAACACCGGUGGCGAAGGCGGUUCUCUGGGCAUGUCCUGACGCUGAGGAGCGAAAGUGUGGGGAGCGAACAGG
RNAcentral lists this ribosomal RNA (253 nucleotides) under uncultured bacterium. RNAcentral describes it as "partial 16S ribosomal RNA". It matches the Rfam family "Bacterial small subunit ribosomal RNA", at positions 524 to 776 of the family's 1533-position model. The record is from RNAcentral.